CGCUGGUCCCGUGCCUAAGAAAGCAAGUCGAGCGAACUUUUGGGAGCUUGCUCCCAAAAGUUUUCGCCGGACGGGUGAGUAACACGUGGGCAACCUACCUGUAAGACUGGGAUAACUUCGGGAAACCGGAGCUAAUACCGGAUAAUUCUUCUUUACACAUGUAGAGAAGCUAAAAGGCGGCUUCGGCUGUCACUUACAGAUGGGCCCGCGGCGCAUUAGCUAGUUGGUGAGGUAACGGCUCGCCAAGGCAACGAUGCGUAGCCGACCUGAGAGGGUGAUCGGCCACACUGGGACUGAGACACGGCCCAGACUCCUACGGGAGGCAGCAGUGGG
This 333-nucleotide small RNA is filed under the name uncultured bacterium. Its description in RNAcentral is "bacterial SSU rRNA". It matches the Rfam family "Bacterial small subunit ribosomal RNA", at positions 34 to 358 of the family's 1533-position model. The record is from RNAcentral.